This 89-nucleotide transfer RNA is filed under the name Thermoanaerobaculia bacterium. Its description in RNAcentral is "tRNA-Leu". It matches the Rfam family "tRNA". From Rfam's summary of the family: Transfer RNA (tRNA) molecules are approximately 80 nucleotides in length. Their secondary structure includes four short double-helical elements and three loops (D, anti-codon, and T loops). The record is from RNAcentral. Lineage: Bacteria; Pseudomonadati; Acidobacteriota; Thermoanaerobaculia.
GCGGAAGUGGCGGAACUGGCAGACGCGCUAGACUUAGGAUCUAGUCCCGAGAGAUCGGGGUGGGGGUUCGAGUCCCCCCUUUCGCACCA